RNAcentral lists this transfer RNA (76 nucleotides) under Lactococcus lactis. Its description in RNAcentral is "tRNA-OTHER". It matches the Rfam family "tRNA". From Rfam's summary of the family: Transfer RNA (tRNA) molecules are approximately 80 nucleotides in length. The record is from RNAcentral. Lineage: Bacteria; Bacillati; Bacillota; Bacilli; Lactobacillales; Streptococcaceae.
GGUUCUUUAGUUAAGUCGGUAAGUUCGCUUAUAGCUCAUAAAAGUUAGGUCACUGGUUAGAAUCCAGUAAGAACCA